Non-coding RNA from Gossypium raimondii (Peruvian cotton), 107 nucleotides. The record is from Rfam. Lineage: Eukaryota; Viridiplantae; Streptophyta; Magnoliopsida; Malvales; Malvaceae.
AUUCCAUGAUGAGGGCAUAUUCAUAAUAGUUCUUUAAACCUCUCCCAUGCCUCAUACAAGGACUCAUCAUCCAAUUGUUGGAAGGUAGUAAUCUCAUUCCUCAACUU